RNAcentral lists this ribosomal RNA (435 nucleotides) under uncultured bacterium. Its description in RNAcentral is "partial 16S ribosomal RNA". It matches the Rfam family "Bacterial small subunit ribosomal RNA", at positions 29 to 507 of the family's 1533-position model. The record is from RNAcentral.
AGCGAACGCUGGCGGCAGGCUUAACACAUGCAAGUCGAACGGGCAUCUUCGGAUGUCAGUGGCAGACGGGUGAGUAACACGCGGGAACGUACCCUUCGGUUCGGAAUAACUCAGGGAAAUUUGAGCUAAUACCGGAUACGCCCUUUUGGGGAAAGGUUUACUGCCGAAGGAUCGGCCCGCGUCUGAUUGGCUUGUUGGUGGGGUAACGGCCUACCAAGGCGACGAUCAGUAGCUGGUCUGAGAGGAUGAUCAGCCACACUGGGACUGGGACACGGCCCAGACUCCUACAGGAGGCAGCAGUGGGGAAUAUUGGACAGUGGGCGCAAGCCUGAUCCAGCCAUGCCGCGUGAGUGAUGAAGGCCUUAGGGUUGUAAAGCUCUUUUGUCCGGGACGAUAAUGACGGUACCGAAAGAAUAAGCCCCGGCUAACUUCGUG